GUUCGAUCGUCUCAAUCUCACUUUCCUCAUCUUCGGGGCUGAAUCUGCGGUACUGUGUAAAGACUCUACAGCAGAAUAUGGUAAGAGCCAGUACGCAAGCAAUGCCACAAAUGAGGAACAGGCCCCAAAAGCUGUUAAGGGAAAGUUGGUUCUCGUCCACUUGGUUGACCUGACUCGAGCAGUCGCUGUGUGUCAGCCAUUUGUUAUGGAUUUUCUGGAGAUCCCCGUUUUCUGAGAGUUGGAGGAUAGCAGUUGACAUAUCAACUGCAAGAGGGGAGUCCCUUUGGAAAGCCUGAAACCAUGAAUGACAAUGACAACUACAAUGGAUUACCUUUCGGAAGCGAAUAAUUAGAGUUGCAUUGCCAUAAAAUCACUGUAGGAAGUUUGAUGUUGAUACUUACAAAGCCCCAUCCGCUCUUUGUAAAUUCUGGGCCAACUAUCCUGUAUAAACAAUUGGUGUUUGAUAAGAAGAGUUCGACAUAAGGAAGCUCAUCAACGAUGGCAGCUACACCACCCUUCUUCGGUCCAAGCUUAAGGGCUCUGAGAUAUGCUUCUGGAUUUUUUAACUUAACUAUCCUAGAUUGUGCUAUAUUGAGCUCGUCAACCAAAUAGUUCAAUGCAAACGAACCAUCUUGGAUUCCAAUAGGUUCAGUACUUGAGAUCAAGCUAUCAAUCCCUUGAAUCCCUGAUGUUAGCUGCUGCACAGUAAGUAUCGAUGUCAAACUAGCAGUGUAGCUCGAGUUAAUAAUCAGAACUACAAAUAGCCAUAUG
This 771-nucleotide long non-coding RNA is filed under the name Gossypium barbadense (sea-island cotton). Its description in RNAcentral is "long non-coding RNA (GBAR_LNC011792)". The record is from RNAcentral. Lineage: Eukaryota; Viridiplantae; Streptophyta; Magnoliopsida; Malvales; Malvaceae.